CAGUAGCCGCGGGAAUACGGAGGGUGCAAGCGUUAAUCGGAAUUACUGGGCGUAAAGCGCACGCAGGCGGUCUGUCAAGUCGGAUGUGAAAUCCCCGGGCUCAACCUGGGAACUGCAUUCGAAACUGGCAGGCUAGAGUCUUGUAGAGGGGGGUAGAAUUCCAGGUGUAGCGGUGAAAUGCGUAGAGAUCUGGAGGAAUACCGGUGGCGAAGGCGGCCCCCUGGACAAAGACUGACGCUCAGGUGCGAAAGCGUGGGGAGCAAACAGGAUUAGAUACCCCAGUAGUCCCUGUCUCUUAUAC
RNAcentral lists this ribosomal RNA (301 nucleotides) under uncultured bacterium. RNAcentral describes it as "partial 16S ribosomal RNA". It matches the Rfam family "Bacterial small subunit ribosomal RNA", at positions 509 to 807 of the family's 1533-position model. The record is from RNAcentral.